GAUGAACGCUAGCUACAGGCUUAACACAUGCAAGUCGAGGGGAAACGACAGGGAGUGCUUGCACACUCUGGGCGUCGACCGGCGCACGGGUGAGUAACGCGUAUCCAACCUGCCCACCACUUGGGAAUAACCUUGCGAAAGUAAGACUAAUGCCCAAUGAUAUUGAGUGCAGACAUCUAAUCUCAAUUAAAGAUUUAUCGGUGAUGGAUGGGGAUGCGUCCGAUUAGCUUGUUGGCGGGGUAACGGCCCACCAAGGCAACGAUCGGUAGGGGUUCUGAGAGGAAGGUCCCCCCACAUUGGAACUGAGACACGGUCCAAAACUCCUACGGGAGGCAGCAGUGAGGAAUAUUGGUCAAUGGGGCGAGAGCCUGAACCAGCCAAGUAGCGUGCAGGAUGACGGCCCUAUGGGUUGUAAACUGCUUUUUAUAAGGGAAUAAAGUGGGGCUCGUGAGCUCUUUUGCAUGUACCUUAUGAAUAAGGACCGGCUAAUUCCGUGCCAGCAG
This 503-nucleotide ribosomal RNA is filed under the name uncultured bacterium. Its description in RNAcentral is "bacterial SSU rRNA". It matches the Rfam family "Bacterial small subunit ribosomal RNA", at positions 28 to 514 of the family's 1533-position model. The record is from RNAcentral.